This 493-nucleotide ribosomal RNA is filed under the name uncultured bacterium. Its description in RNAcentral is "partial 16S ribosomal RNA". It matches the Rfam family "Bacterial small subunit ribosomal RNA", at positions 29 to 523 of the family's 1533-position model. The record is from RNAcentral.
AUUGAACGCUGGCGGCAUGCUUUACACAUGCAAGUCGAACGGUAACAGGUUAAGCUGACGAGUGGCGAACGGGUGAGUAAUGCAUCGGAACGUGCCCGGUCGUGGGGGAUAACGCAGCGAAAGCUGCGCUAAUACCGCAUACGAUCUAAGGAUGAAAGCGGGGGACCGUAAGGCCUCGCGCGAUCGGAGCGGCCGAUGUCAGAUUAGGUAGUUGGUGGGGUAAAGGCUCACCAAGCCAACGAUCUGUAGCUGGUCUGAGAGGACGACCAGCCACACUGGGACUGAGACACGGCCAAGACUCCUACGGGAGGCAGAAGUGGGGAAUUUUGGACACUGGGCGAAAGCCUGAUCCAGCAAUGCCGCGUGCAGGAAGAAGGCCUUCGGGUUGUAAACUGCUUUUGUACGGAGCGAAAAGGUCUCCGCUAAUACAGGGGGCUCAUGACGGUACCGUAAGAAUAAGCACCGGCUAACUACGUGCCAGCCGCCGCCGUAA